Molecule: long non-coding RNA, 719 nt
Organism: Mus spicilegus (steppe mouse)
Lineage: Eukaryota; Metazoa; Chordata; Mammalia; Rodentia; Muridae
Source: Ensembl
CUUGGACAGGCCUUGUCAUCAAGGCCACUCCACUCCACCAGGGCUGCUCAGGGCUGGCCUUCCAGGGUAGGGAACUGUUGGGUGUUCGGGUUUCCAUGGGGAUUUCCAGAAGGACUAGGGGACAAGUGCAAGCCAGAAAGAUGUUCAGUUGUCAGCUGUCAAAAACUAAGUAAAAUACCACCAUCACCCUCUCCUGCAGAUGAGAAAAAAAACACCUAUAGCUUGUACUCCUGACUGCCAAAGAAAGCCAGAAAAGACUCUGGCCUCCAGGGAACUUUGUGUAACCAUGGUGACACCUGAAAUCAAAGAUGAGAAAUCAUUUGGAGCGGGGCCUCUGAUUGGUGCCUGACUCUGUAGUUCAAAUGGAUGCUAGCCCAGUUGUUUGUUUUUCAACAGUUUAGGGUCUUGUUUUGUCUUGGAAAUAUAAUCACUGCUCUUUUUCCAGUAUACACUGCCUCUGACAAAUCCAUAGAGUGGCAGUGCUGGAGGAUUUUGAUUGCAAACCAAUCAGCAAGGACUUCUGAGGAUGAGGACUUGUGUAUCAUUUUCCUGCCAGCUUUGUUGGCCUGCAGUGUGUCCGAAGUAUUUUCCUACGUAAUCGUUGAAAGAGAAGAAGUGAAAUGAAUUUCAAACUGAAGAUGAUGUGGAGAUAUGCCGGGGAGAUGAUCAGCUGAUUGGAAGGCAGCCUUGUCACUUAUGAUGCCAUAUUUGAAGCCCUG